AGGGUGUAUCUUAGCACACGGUGUCCAUUUAGUUUGAAAGCUCCGUGAUAUUUCCUAAGGGCGUACUAGUGAAAAAUUAAAAUUUGAUCACAAAGUACCUUUAAGCUUGAAUUCUCUUCCUUUCCUCUGUAAAUUGUCUGCUAAUGUUAAACUAGUCUCUUUAAAAAGACUGUUUUACUUUGCUUCAAAUUGGUGUACUCAUGAUAGCUGAUCAAGGCAGCUCCGUGAGCAGAGUGCAGAGUGUGGUGUUACCUCCUGCCACUGAAACUGAAAAUUUUUAUGCCUGCCUAAUUUGGCACUUUAUAGUUAAGUGUCGGGUUGUUCUUGUAUAAACUUCUUGGCAUUGUCAGAAAGGAUAAAGAACAAGCUAAUUUGCAAUUCAGAAUAAGCAAAUGUAUGCUUAUCAAAGUAGUUUUUAAUCGGGUGACCCCGGAGUAGGCGAGC
Long non-coding RNA from Rhodamnia argentea, 444 nucleotides. RefSeq lists it as uncharacterized. NCBI's taxonomy places the organism in Eukaryota, Viridiplantae, Streptophyta, Magnoliopsida, Myrtales, Myrtaceae. The transcript is spliced from 2 exons. The record is from RefSeq and is a predicted model, not a curated record.